Molecule: ribosomal RNA, 863 nt
Filed under: Hypoxylon perforatum
Lineage: Eukaryota; Fungi; Ascomycota; Sordariomycetes; Xylariales; Hypoxylaceae
Description: partial large subunit ribosomal RNA
Rfam family: Eukaryotic large subunit ribosomal RNA
Source: RNAcentral
GGGAUUGCCCUAGUAACGGCGAGUGAAGCGGCAACAGCUCAAAUUUGAAAUCUGGCCCUCGGGUCCGAAUUGUAAUUUGUAGAGGAUGCUUUUGGUGCGGUGCCUUCCGAGUUCCCUGGAACGGGACGCCAGAGAGGGUGAGAGCCCCGUACGGUUGGACACCUACCCUAUAUAUAGCUCCUUCGACGAGUCGAGUAGUUUGGGAAUGCUGCUCUAAAUGGGAGGUAAAUUUCUUCUAAAGCUAAAUACCGGCCAGAGACCGAUAGCGCACAAGUAGAGUGAUCGAAAGAUGAAAAGCACUUUGAAAAGAGGGUUAAAUAGCACGUGAAAUUGUUGAAAGGGAAGCGUUUGUGACCAGACUUUUUCCUAGUGGAUCAUCCGGUGUUCUCACCGGUGCACUUCACUGGGUUUAGGCCAGCAUCGGUUUCCGGAGGGGGACAAAAGCAUGGGGAAUGUGGCUCUUUCGGGAGUGUUAUAGCCCCUAGCAUAAUACCUCUCCUGGGGACCGAGGACCGCGCUUCGGCAAGGAUGCUGGCGUAAUGGUUAUCAACGACCCGUCUUGAAACACGGACCAAGGAGUCGAACAUUUGUGCGAGUGUUUGGGUAUCAAACCCUCACGCGUAAUGAAAGUGAACGGAGGUGAGAGCCCUUCGGGGUGCAUCAUCGACCGAUCCUGAUGUCUUCGGAUGGAUUUGAGUAAGAGCAUAACUGUUCGGACCCGAAAGAUGGUGAACUAUGCGUGGAUAGGGUGAAGCCAGAGGAAACUCUGGUGGAGGCUCGCAGCGGUUCUGACGUGCAAAUCGAUCGUCAAAUCUGCGCAUGGGGGCGAAAGACUUAUCGAACCAUCUAGUAGCUGGUACGCG